ACAACCCAAUCUGCUAAUCUCCAAUACCACUUUGUACUUACGAUCUUGAAUCCACUGACAGUCUUGUUAGAUUAACCCAAUAAAUUUCAUUCACUCCACAUACUCAAUCCUAUAGACACCCUUUUUAUCCUUCAAUCACAGACGUAACUCGAUGUCACAAAACAGUCAGGAGUGAUCACACCCACUUCAUUAAAAAUCUCGAUUCACCAUUACAACACUGACUUCAGCAACGAUUGCCUCUGUCUUCCUCAAACUCUAUGAAGAAGAAAAAUCCAAUUCUUUGUCUUUUCUUCCCCGACCCCGAAGCAUGAAGCUCCUCUCUAAUU
This 326-nucleotide long non-coding RNA is filed under the name Physcomitrium patens. RNAcentral's name for it is "long non-coding RNA (PPAT_LNC013056)". Lineage: Eukaryota; Viridiplantae; Streptophyta; Bryopsida; Funariales; Funariaceae. The record is from RNAcentral.